AGAGUUUGAUCCUGGCUCAGAACGACGCUGGCGGCAGGCUUAACACAUGCAAGUCGAACGGGUGUAGCAAUACAUCAGUGGCAGACGGGUGAGUAACACGUGGGAACCUUCCUAGAGGUACGGAACAACUCAGGGAAACUUGAGCUAAUACCGUAUACGCUCUUGCGAGGAAAGAUUUAUCGCCUUUAGACGGGCCCGCGUCGGAUUAGCUAGUUGGUGGGGUAACGGCCUACCAAGGCGACGAUCCGUAGCUGAUCUGAGAGGAUGAUCAGCCACACUGGGACUGAGACACGGCCCAGACUCCUACGGGAGGCAGCAGUGGGGAAUCUUGGACAAUGGCGCAAGCCUGAUCCAGCCAUGCCGCGUGAGUGAAGAAGGCCUUCGGGUUGUAAAGCUCUUUUGCCAGGGACGAUAAUGACGGUACCUGGAGAAUAAGCCCCGGCAAACUUCGUG
Molecule: ribosomal RNA, 453 nt
Filed under: uncultured bacterium
Lineage: Bacteria
Description: bacterial SSU rRNA
Rfam family: Bacterial small subunit ribosomal RNA
Source: RNAcentral